AUGAAAUCAUUACGACCUUUACCAAAACAGUGUCGUCCACAGAUGAAAGUAUUUCAUGGAGUCACUUGCAUGUCUACAGUUUUCUUGUGCGUGCUUGGGAUAUGUGUUUUGUAUAAAUGUUUCGCCGUCUUAUUAAGUAUUCUCCACCUCCUUGCUAGGGGUCUUGUUGUUUUUUAUGGGUAUGUAGUCAACAUCUCAGAGGUUAAUGUAUGA
RNAcentral lists this ribosomal RNA (213 nucleotides) under Triticum aestivum (bread wheat). Its description in RNAcentral is "partial small subunit ribosomal RNA". Lineage: Eukaryota; Viridiplantae; Streptophyta; Magnoliopsida; Poales; Poaceae. The record is from RNAcentral.